This 433-nucleotide ribosomal RNA is filed under the name uncultured bacterium. RNAcentral's name for it is "partial 16S ribosomal RNA". It matches the Rfam family "Bacterial small subunit ribosomal RNA", at positions 29 to 507 of the family's 1533-position model. The record is from RNAcentral.
AGCGAACGCUGGCGGCAGGCCUAACACAUGCAAGUCGAACGAACUCUUCGGAGUUAGUGGCGGACGGGUGAGUAACACGUGGGAACGUGCCUUUUGGUUCGGAAUAACUCAGGGAAACUUGUGCUAAUACCGAAUGUGCCCUUCGGGGGAAAGAUUUAUCGCCAUUAGAGCGGCCCGCGUCUGAUUAGCUAGUUGGUUAGGUAACGGCUCACCAAGGCGACGAUCAGUAGCUGGUCUGAGAGGAUGACCAGCCACACUGGGACUGAGACACGGCCCAGACUCCUACGGGAGGCAGCAGUGGGGAAUCUUGCGCAAUGGGCGAAAGCCUGACGCAGCCAUGCCGCGUGAAUGAUGAAGGUCCUAGGAUUGUAAAAUUCUUUCACCGGGGACGAUAAUGACGGUACCCGGAGAAGAAGCCCCGGCUAACUUCGUG